Molecule: ribosomal RNA, 503 nt
Filed under: Triticum aestivum (bread wheat)
Lineage: Eukaryota; Viridiplantae; Streptophyta; Magnoliopsida; Poales; Poaceae
Description: partial small subunit ribosomal RNA
Source: RNAcentral
UCCCCGGGUGCUGGAUCCAGGGAGAAGAAGUACAAGAGAGAAGAGGUUGUUUUUGUUCGUCAAACCCGUGAGAGUCUAGGUACCGCUACUUCUUGUGUAUAUGUCCUAAACUUCGGGGGAUUAAAAACCCCCGGGACACGUCAGCGGGUGGAGUGUAGGAGCAGUUGCCGGGAAUGUAUACCUAGCUAAGGAGCACCUACGAUCGCCUACUGCUCCUGGCCACCGAGGAUCGCGCCCUCCGCGCGUACUAGGUACGCGAUCAAGACGCGUUCGGCGAAGUUAAGAAGUACCGGCGGGCCUCCCUCCCUACCGACGGCUGCUGGGGCCGAUCUAGACGGGUCCUAACGCCGCCGACGCGCGAGGAGUACCGGCGGAGGAGCUCGGACCAACCCUCCUCCCUUGCUAGGACCCCGGGUCCCAACGCAACCGCUGGAUAUAUGUCUCUUUCCCCGCUCGCCACCGCCGUACUCCGCUGAACGCCGCACCAUACGCCACCGAAGCUA